RNAcentral lists this unclassified non-coding RNA (378 nucleotides) under plant metagenome. RNAcentral's name for it is "partial contains 5.8S ribosomal RNA, internal transcribed spacer 2, and large subunit ribosomal RNA". The stretch from base 1 to 105 matches the Rfam family "5.8S ribosomal RNA", at positions 50 to 154 of the family's 154-position model. The record is from RNAcentral.
GAAAUGCGAUAAGUAAUGUGAAUUGCAGAAUUCAGUGAAUCAUCGAAUCUUUGAAAGCACCUUGCGCUCCUUGGUAUUCCUUGGAGCAUGCCUGUUUGAGUAUCAUGAAAUCUUCAAAGUAAAUCUUUUGUUAACUCAAUUGGUUUCUACUUUGGUAUUGGAGGUCUUUGCAGCUUCACACCUGCUCCUCUUUGUUCAUUAGCUGGAUCUCAGUGUUAUGCUUGGUUCCACUCGGCGUGAUAAGUUAUCUAUCGCUGAGGACACUGUAAAAGGUGGCCAAGGUAAAUGCAGAUGAAACGCUUCUAAUAGUCCAUUGACUUUGACAAUACUUUUAUGAUCUGAUCUCAAAUCAGGUAGGACUACCCGCUGAACUUAAGC